Molecule: ribosomal RNA, 665 nt
Filed under: bacterium SVAL2.44
Lineage: Bacteria
Description: bacterial SSU rRNA
Rfam family: Bacterial small subunit ribosomal RNA
Source: RNAcentral
UGCAGUCGAGCGGUAGCACAGAGAGCUUGCUCUUGGGUGACGAGCGGCGGACGGGUGAGUAACGCGUAGAAAUCUACCCGGUAGUUGGGGAUAGCCCGGAGAAAUCCGGAUUAAUACCGAAUAAUCUCUGAGGAGGAAAGUGGGGGACCUUUCGGGGCCUCACGCUAUUGGAUGAGUCUGCGUCGGAUUAGCUAGUUGGUGGGGUAAAGGCCUACCAAGGCGACGAUCCGUAGCUGGUCUGAGAGGAUGAUCAGCCACACUGGGACUGAGACACGGCCCAGACUCCUACGGGAGGCAGCAGUGGGGAAUAUUGGACAAUGGGGGCAACCCUGAUCCAGCCAUGCCGCGUGUGUGAAGAAGGCUUUCGGGUUGUAAAGCACUUUCAGUGGUGAGGAAGGGUGUGUUGUUAAUAGCGACAUACAUUGACGUUAGCCACAGAAGAAGCACCGGCUAACUCCGUGCCAGCAGCCGCGGUAAUACGGAGGGUGCGAGCGUUAAUCGGAAUUACUGGGCGUAAAGCGCGCGUAGGCGGUGUGUUAAGUGAGAUGUGAAAUCCCCGGGCUCAACCUGGGAAUUGCCUCUUAUACUGGCACGCUAGAGUAUGGCAGAGGUGAGUAGAAUUCCCGGUGUAGCGGUGAAAUGCGUAGAGAUCGGGAGGAAUACCA